CUCGGAUAAGAGGAAGAGCUGAGACUGGAAUUCUGAUUUCCUCAUCAGUAUUUUGAUCACUGAUAGCUGCUCUCUUAAGAGAAGUGACUGACGCUUUGUUGGUGCAGGGAGUAAUGGCCCACAGACACAGGAGACAUGCCUUCUCUCCAUUUCCAGGCUCUGUGAAAUAUGUUGCAAGGCCUAUCUGUCUGCAACAGGACAGUUUGAGCAUUGCCUGCCAUUCAUUGCUCAUGAAAAGAAGGUACAAAGACUGAGGGGAGUCAAGAUCAAAGUCUGUCUUUCCUGCAUAAAACAAGGAUAUUUCUCUGAGGCUUCAGGGGAUAAAAUUCUGUCUUGUGUGGGAUGUCACAGAAUCAUGGAAUGUGAGAACUGGGAAGAGGAAGCCUUCAGGAUCACUGUCGCUGGAAUCCUUGCUUGUCAGAAGAUGGAAUGCUUUAUAAAUUAUAAAGUGCUAUAGCCGUCUCACAUCCUUUUGAGGAGCAGCUGUGUAUAAAUUAUAAAUAAAA
This 506-nucleotide long non-coding RNA is filed under the name Capra hircus (goat). RNAcentral's name for it is "lncRNA (ENSCHIG00000001728.1)". Lineage: Eukaryota; Metazoa; Chordata; Mammalia; Artiodactyla; Bovidae. The record is from RNAcentral.